Molecule: ribosomal RNA, 456 nt
Filed under: uncultured bacterium
Lineage: Bacteria
Description: bacterial SSU rRNA
Rfam family: Bacterial small subunit ribosomal RNA
Source: RNAcentral
GAUGAACGCUGGCGGCGUGCUUAACACAUGCAAGUCGAGCGAAGCGGUUAAGAAGAUUCUUCGGAUGAUUCUUAACUGACUGAGCGGCGGACGGGUGAGUAACGCGUGGGUGACCUGCCCCAUACCGGGGGAUAACAGCUGGAAACGGCUGCUAAUACCGCAUAAGCGCACAGAGCUGCAUGGCUCGGUGUGAAAAACUCCGGUGGUAUGGGAUGGGCCCGCGUCUGAUUAGGCAGUUGGCGGGGUAACGGCCCACCAAACCGACGAUCAGUAGCCGGCCUGAGAGGGCGACCGGCCACAUUGGGACUGAGACACGGCCCAAACUCCUACGGGAGGCAGCAGUGGGGAAUAUUGCACAAUGGGGGAAACCCUGAUGCAGCGACGCCGCGUGAGCGAAGAAGUAUUUCGGUAUGUAAAGCUCUAUCAGCAGGGAAGAUGUUGACGGUACCUGACUAA